This 228-nucleotide long non-coding RNA is filed under the name Lathyrus oleraceus (garden pea). Its description in RNAcentral is "Pisum sativum (pea) long non-coding RNA (PSAT_LNC035998)". The record is from RNAcentral. Lineage: Eukaryota; Viridiplantae; Streptophyta; Magnoliopsida; Fabales; Fabaceae.
AUCAUCUGAUGAUUGGUUGGGAGGUUAUGGCCAAAUGAUCACAAAGUAUGCAUGGAAGUUCAAAGUGACAUAACUUUUGAUCCAAAACUCCAAAUUGGUCCAUUAUUUUUGCAAAAUACUCCUCAUGACCAAUACUUUUCAAAUCAAGCUUUGCCAUGCAUGGAAAAAGCUCAUAUGAUCAUCAUUGCUCACAUGUGCAAAAUGGAGGGAAAUUUCAUAAUUCAAAUU